Cyprinus carpio carpio is the source of this 1750-nucleotide long non-coding RNA. The record is from Ensembl. NCBI's taxonomy places the organism in Eukaryota, Metazoa, Chordata, Actinopteri, Cypriniformes, Cyprinidae.
CUGACGUUCAUUUAUGUUUAUUUUGUGCUAUAAUUAAUAGUACAGAGGAAGAGAUGAUCUGCUCACUUUAUCUGAGCUCGAGACAAGACCAAAACCAUGAAAAUAUGGUCUUAUGUGUGUUCUUAAAUAUUAGUGAGUCUGGUCUUGAAUACAUGUUAGGAAAAUAUGAGCAGUUGUGAUAGUUUGGCACAAAUUGGACAUGGCCCCUUUAAGAAAUUGCCUCUUUGCAACGCCAUUGUCUACCCCUCAUUGCGCAUGUGUGUUCUACUUUCAUAGAAACUCUUAAUUCAAUUAAACCAAUUUGAGCAUCUGCAACAGUUGUAGUUGUUAAUUUUGACGACCUAAUGUAUCUUUUGAAGGAUGGAAAUGGAUUGAGGUGAACUUCAGAACAUACUUUGAACACCUUUUUAUAUGUGAAGGAUUUUAUGGGUCAGAUGGAUCAGAUAAUGGUCGAGGGGGUUGGAGUAUGAGAGAUCUCAGAUUCAGAGCCUGUGCAAUAUAAAGGUUUUUCCCCAUCACAAUAGAAGCAUCAGUGCAUAACAUGUAUGAGAACCUUAAACUGAGAAUACAUAUUAAACAGAAACAACGUGUGCUGAUAAUGCAAAAGGACAAUUGAUUUAUCAGUUAAAGUCAGUCCAUCGUUGAUUCAGUCAUGUCAUCGUCCAGCUCCGUUCAGUUCUCUUCAAAUAGUGUCUGUGCAGUCAAGUCAACAAUGUUGCCAGAGAUUGUGUCCCCAACUACGCAAGCCAAAUGUGAUAGUGACAAGGAACCAAGACUCCAUCAGUGACAGAAAUGGAGAAAAAAAAACCUUGGGAGAAACCAGGCUCAGUCAGUUCUCUUCUGGUCAGACGAAACCUGCAUGGUGUGGUUUAAUUGCAGGCUGCAACACAGCGCACCACAGUUCCAUCAACUGUCCCAAGUGUCUAUGCUUGCACUUCUCCUGCAGUCCCUAUUAUCAGCUUUAAAGCCUUGCUCUACAUUCAUUGUAAUUACCUGGAAAAGAGGGACCAGAACUUUUCUUCUGUUACAUGGAAGAAAGUCAGUCAUGCAGGUUUGGAACAACAUGAGGGUAAGUAAAUAAUAACAUAAUUUUCAUUUCUAGGUGAAUUCAGAGAAAUUAGCAUUCUGAGAAUUCCAAAAUGCUAAUUGAUGCACAUUCUUGAUUAUUUACCUGACUAGGCACAAUUCCAACAGUUUAUGACCCUUGGUUAUCUUUAAAGAGUUCAGAGUCCAAUAUAGAAACCCUUGUUUUAUUUGGGAACACCCAAUAUAUCUCUAGGUACAGUAGAAACUGGUACUGUGUUUUUUAUACAUGUACACGUAGACACCUGGUAUCAAAAUAUACUAUACUGUUUUUUAGUUACCUACUAAGUGUUGCAUAGCAACUAAACAUCAGCUGUCUUUGUAAACUCAGAUAUGGCUACAGAAAAAGAGAGAUAGAAACCACCACCUCACAAAUCAGACAAGAUAACAUUAUCUUAUUAUGACUCAUCAAAUAAGAUGGCACUUGGGCAGCAUUGAUUCUCAGUUAUAGUACUGUCAGCAUUAUGUCUGGUGAACUCUGACCUCACCUGAUGAGUUGUGAACAAGGUUGUUUUGCCUGGAGUUUUCAGAUUUGGCUACAGAUCUUGUUUGUGUGCCUUGGCGCUUUUCAGUUCACACAUAAUAGAGCCUCACCUGCAGUGGCGUGACUUGAAUGGAAUGACUCGACAGUCCUCUUUUUUUUAAAGCAGACAGAGCAAGAUAGGAG